UUAGCCCUAAACACAGAUAAUUAUAUAAACAAAAUUAUUCGCCAGAGUACUACUAGCAAUAGCUUAAAACUCAAAGGACUUGGCGGUGCUUCAUAUCCCUCUAGAGGAGCCUGUUCUAUAAUCGAUAAACCCCGAUAAACCUCACCAAUUCUUGCUAAUACAGUCUAUAUACCGCCAUCUUCAGCAAACCCUAAAAAGGAAUAAAAGUAAGCGUAAUCAUAGCACAUAAAAAAGUUAGGUCAAGGUGUAACCUAUGAAAUGGAAAGAAAUGGGCUACAUUUUCUUAAAUCAAGAAAACCAUUACUCGAAAGCUAUUAUGAAAUUAAUAGCCAAAGGAGGAUUUAGCAGUAAACUAAGAAUAGAGUGCUUAGUUGAACCAGGCCAUGAAGCACGC
RNAcentral lists this ribosomal RNA (394 nucleotides) under Tragelaphus spekii (Sitatunga). RNAcentral's name for it is "partial 12S ribosomal RNA". It matches the Rfam family "Bacterial small subunit ribosomal RNA", at positions 796 to 1384 of the family's 1533-position model. Lineage: Eukaryota; Metazoa; Chordata; Mammalia; Artiodactyla; Bovidae. The record is from RNAcentral.